Molecule: long non-coding RNA, 561 nt
Organism: Salvia splendens (bonfire salvia)
Lineage: Eukaryota; Viridiplantae; Streptophyta; Magnoliopsida; Lamiales; Lamiaceae
Exons: 2
Source: RefSeq, a predicted model, not a curated record
GGAAAUGAGGAGAGAGGGGGAGAGGUGAUGAUGAAUUUCACCAUGGAUCGAUAAAGCUGAUGGAUAUCUUCGGGUGUCAGCGGCACAGUACAAGAUUGGAAAAUAAUCGUGUGGACAGAGACAAGACCAUAGGUAGACACGAAACUUAAAAUCAGACAUCCAUUCGACCAAUAGUUGACUUUGGAGAGGCAUGAGAAAAGACAAGAGAUAUGCAGCUGUAGCAUCGAGAUAAUUACUUAUAACAAGUUAUAUAUGUAUAUAUAUAUAUAGAGAGAGAGAGAGAUGACGACAAGUGAAGUAAGGUGCGCGCCGCCCUCAAGUUUAGGUGUGGCAGUGGACGUAAAGCCCCAAAUAUACACAGAUAUUGAAUAUGGCGUGACCAAUUGGUAUUCCACCUGCUGCUCACUGUAAUGGGACCACACCAUCACACACCAGAACCCCUCUCUCUCCUCUUCUUUUUCUUUUAUUGUAUUCAGUAAAUUGUGAAAAAAAAAUCAUGACUUUGGUUGAAUCCUUGUCCAUUCUGUAAUUUUAAUUUUUUUAAAAAUUUAUUUAUACUUA